CGGCAACAGCUCAAAUUUGAAAUCUGGCUCUUUUAGAGUCCGAGUUGUAAUUUGCAGAGGGCGCUUUGGCGUUGGCAGCGGUCCAAGUUCCUUGGAACAGGACGUCACAGAGGGUGAGAAUCCCGUACGUGGUCGCUCGGCC
Molecule: ribosomal RNA, 142 nt
Filed under: Leptosphaeria cirsii
Lineage: Eukaryota; Fungi; Ascomycota; Dothideomycetes; Pleosporales; Leptosphaeriaceae
Description: partial large subunit ribosomal RNA
Rfam family: Eukaryotic large subunit ribosomal RNA
Source: RNAcentral